GGUGGUCGGAAAACUGGAGAUUUUUCAAUCUCCUUGUUCUCCAUCAUUUCUCAACCAUUUUCUUCGAAUUUUAUAUCAAAAUGAAGCCCUAAGCAUGUAGUUUCACGUUACACUACUUUAAGGCUCUAAAAACUACAAAAUCUCACUGGAGAAAUUCCAUGAAAACCGGCCAAUUUCGAACCCAAUGGUCCCGACGUCCAAAACCUUCAAACGAAGCACUCCGACCUUCCUUGGGACCUCACUAAGCUCACUACAAGCUUAGAAUUCCCUGAAAAUUAACACAUCACGAUUGCAUGAACAGUGACAUAAAACUGGGGUUCGGGUUUCACGUGAUUUCGAAGGUUUCACGUUCUAAAACCAGUACCAAACAACUCAGGAGGUCGAAAGGAUGAAGAACCAUACCUUUUGGGCGUCGAUCCGUGAAAGUUCAAGGGUAUUUGGUCUCGUCCGUACAAUUUCGAAAGGGAGAGGGUGACUGAGACGGAGAAGAGAGAGAGAGCACGGGAAUGGGAAAGGGAAAGAUGUCCCGUGUGUGAGUGUUGUGUGGUCCACCCAAAAACAAACCACAACAUCAUUCCCUAACCACACAAAUUACAACCCAACAUUUUAAUCUAACUUAAUUUAUUUUCCAAAAGCUUAGGAAUGAAUGAAUUUAAUCCAAUAAUAUGUCACACACACACAUACCUUAAUACCCGUCAAGGGUA
Molecule: long non-coding RNA, 704 nt
Filed under: Malus domestica (apple)
Lineage: Eukaryota; Viridiplantae; Streptophyta; Magnoliopsida; Rosales; Rosaceae
Description: long non-coding RNA (MDOM_LNC010556)
Source: RNAcentral